UACGUAGGGACCAAGCGUUGUUCGGAUUUACUGGGCGUAAAGGGCGCGUAGGCGGCUUGUCAAGUCACUUGUGAAAUCUCUGGGCUUAACCCAGAACGGCCAAGUGAAACUGACAUGCUAGAGUGCAGAAGGGGCAAUCGGAAUUCUUGGUGUAGCGGUGAAAUGCGUAGAUAUCAGGAGGAACACCGAUGGCGAAGGCAGGUCUCUGGGCCAUAACUGACGCUGAGAAGCGAAAGCAUGGGGAGCGAACAGG
Molecule: ribosomal RNA, 253 nt
Filed under: uncultured bacterium
Lineage: Bacteria
Description: partial 16S ribosomal RNA
Rfam family: Bacterial small subunit ribosomal RNA
Source: RNAcentral